Molecule: ribosomal RNA, 255 nt
Filed under: uncultured bacterium
Lineage: Bacteria
Description: partial 16S ribosomal RNA
Rfam family: Bacterial small subunit ribosomal RNA
Source: RNAcentral
UACGUAGGGUGCGAGCGUUGUCCGGAAUUAUUGGGCGUAAAGAGCUUGUAGGCGGUUUGUCGCGUCUGCCGUGAAAUUUCGAGGCUCAACCUCGAACUUGCGGUGGGUACGGGCAGACUAGAGUGUGGUAGGGGGAGACUGGAAUUCCUGGUGUAGCGGUGAAAUGCGCAGAUAUCAGGAGGAACACCGAUGGCGAAGGGCAGGUCUCUGGGCCACUACUGACGCUGAGAAGCGAAAGCAUGGGGAGCGAACAGG